Molecule: ribosomal RNA, 497 nt
Filed under: uncultured bacterium
Lineage: Bacteria
Description: partial 16S ribosomal RNA
Rfam family: Bacterial small subunit ribosomal RNA
Source: RNAcentral
GAUGAACGCUGGCGGCGUGCCUAAUACAUGCAAGUCGAGCGAACAGAUGAGGAGCUUGCUCCUCUGACGUUAGCGGCGGACGGGUGAGUAACACGUGGAUAACCUACCUAUAAGACCGGGAUAACUUCGGGAAACCGGAGCUAAUACCGGAUAAUAUAUUGAACCGCAUGGUUCAAUAGUGAAAGACGGUUUUGCUGUCACUUAUAGAUGGAUCCGCGCCGCAUUAGCUAGUUGGUAAGGUAACGGCUUACCAAGGCAACGAUGCGUAGCCGACCUGAGAGGGUGAUCGGCCACACUGGAACUGAGACACGGUCCAGACUCCUACGGGAGGCAGCAGUAGGGAAUCUUCCGCAAUGGGCGAAAGCCUGACGGAGCAACGCCGCGUGAGUGAUGAAGGUCUUCGGAUCGUUAAACUCUGUUAUUAGGGAAGAACAAAUGUGUAAGUAACUAUGCACGUCUUGACGGUACCUAAUCAGAAAGCCACGGCUAACUACGUG